GUAUUAAUUCGCCUGACAUAACCUGAUGGAUUGAUAUUUGUUGUUGGGACAGUAAUUAGAGCCUUAGUUCGAGGAGAAAUGAAAUUCCUAAAAUUCCAGCCUCUUGGAUGGGAAAGUCGUUGUUCACUAUUUGAAAGUAAACAGGAAUAUUUUGGAUUGGAAUACAAACCUCCCCUUGUGUGUGAAUCAUCCCUAAACCAAUACCAUUGUGAGCCAGUAUCAAUUAAGAAUUUGGCUGAGCCCUGACAAAAAUGACUAUGCUCAAGAGGAAGGAUAGGUGGUUGUUCAGCAUUAAUUAUGUCGAAGUUGUAGCAGAUACGAUAGAUCCGGUGCGUGCAAAAAGGGGCUUGGGUUUUUGGUUCACUAUCACCGACGAUCCUACUAUAAUCACGUCGUUGCAUCCUAUUACGUAUUAAGGCAAGCAGAUAAAAUUUAUCAUCGGGUUUGACUAAUGAAUCAGCAAGUCUACAUUGGACCAUGAAAUUGGCGA
Dufourea novaeangliae is the source of this 490-nucleotide long non-coding RNA. RefSeq lists it as uncharacterized. The record is from RefSeq and is a predicted model, not a curated record. The transcript is spliced from 4 exons. NCBI's taxonomy places the organism in Eukaryota, Metazoa, Arthropoda, Insecta, Hymenoptera, Halictidae.